This 483-nucleotide ribosomal RNA is filed under the name Enterobacteriaceae bacterium EF15. RNAcentral's name for it is "bacterial SSU rRNA". It matches the Rfam family "Bacterial small subunit ribosomal RNA", at positions 8 to 481 of the family's 1533-position model. The record is from RNAcentral. Lineage: Bacteria; Pseudomonadati; Pseudomonadota; Gammaproteobacteria; Enterobacterales; Enterobacteriaceae.
AGAGUUUGAUCCUGGCUCAGAUUGAACGCUGGCGGCAGGCCUAACACAUGCAAGUCGAGCGGCAGCGGAAAGUAGCUUGCUACUUUGCCGGCGAGCGGCGGACGGGUGAGUAAUGUCUGGGAAACUGCCUGAUGGAGGGGGAUAACUACUGGAAACGGUAGCUAAUACCGCAUAACGUCGCAAGACCAAAGAGGGGGACCUUCGGGCCUCUUGCCAUCAGAUGUGCCCAGAUGGGAUUAGCUAGUAGGUGGGGUAACGGCUCACCUAGGCGACGAUCCCUAGCUGGUUUGAGAGGAUGACCAGCCACACUGGAACUGAGACACGGUCCAGACUCCUACGGGAGGCAGCAGUGGGGAAUAUUGCACAAUGGGCGCAAGCCUGAUGCAGCCAUGCCGCGUGUAUGAAGAAGGCCUUCGGGUUGUAAAGUACUUUCAGCGGGGAGGAAGGUGUUGAGGUUAAUAACCUCAGCAAUUGACGUACCCG